Molecule: long non-coding RNA, 488 nt
Organism: Tyto alba (common barn owl)
Lineage: Eukaryota; Metazoa; Chordata; Aves; Strigiformes; Tytonidae
Exons: 2
Source: RefSeq, a predicted model, not a curated record
GGAGCAGUAACAUAAAUUAAGAAGGGCUGCAGAAUACUAGUAACAGAGGAUGGGAUCCACCAGUUGUCCCACGGCAGUAGUCAGAGGUAUUCCUACUUUUGCAAUUGAGCACCUGUGUUCAGGCCAGGAAGAGGAGCUGGGUGAGAAGGCACAUUAUGCACUGAAGAUUUUAUCUCUGCAAAAUCCGGCGUGAUCCUCUCUUGUGAGGCUGCACCUUGGUACCUGGCUUGUGUGCUCUGGUGAGAGAGAGGCAACUGUUUGUCUAAGAAGAUACAGAACCAAAGGCAUGUACGAAUUCACAAGACAGGAGUUUUAUGUGGGUCCCGAAGGAGCAAGGGACACGGCUGCACGGCAUCUGAUAGCCUGAGAGAAGUAGAAAGCCCAUACUGUGAACGUGCCAGAGGGAUAGGAUAGCCUUUUCACAGAGACAAAAGCAAGGUUGUUGAUGAAAUACCUGCGUUUUGUGAAAAAUAAAUUUUAAAACUGCA